CAUGUAAUACACGCCUGCUUCCCCUUCCCCUUCUACCAUAACGGAAAAAGCUCAUGGGAGGCUGGACCCAGUGGCUGAAGCCUGUAAUCCCAACCCUUUCGGAGGCUGAGGUAUAUGGUGCAUAAUUGGAAAUGGAGCAUGAUGGGGAGAAGUAUGAACCAGAGACUUUUGGAAGAAGUCUGAAUUCUGUGUGCUUUAUAUACAUUUCUCAUGAGGUAAAGGAGACGAUAUCUUCCUCACCAGCAGGAUAAAUAAUAGGUGAUCAAAAGACCCCAGAGCAUGGUGCAAAAAAAAAAUAUGAAACAAACUAAUUUUCCUCGAUCUACAUUUUGGAAAACCACUGUUAUAUUUUUCAGCUCCCAGUGGGAGUUUUUAAUGCCUUUUUCAGCAACAAAACAAAACAAAACAAAACAUUGCAUUACAUACCAUAGGAGAGUAAUGGAAAAGAGAAACAAAAAUCCAGGAUUAAUUCUAAAGUCUUAUAUUCCUAAACACUAUGAAUAUAGAUAAUAGGUCUUGAUUUAAAGCUUUCCAUAUUAAUUUAAUCCCUUGUAAACUCUGCUGUUUCAUAGAAAUUAUACUUUAAGAUGAAGAUUAAAAACAGAAAAAGAAUAUUUUGUGUCUGUUCAUUCAUGUUAUUCCUUGAUUCAUUGUAGCAUAAUGAACAAAAUUUUAGUUUAAGAUUAAAAACUUGCAAUUAUGGUGACAGUUAAAUAUAUAUUAUAGAAACAUGAAAAAACUACAACUCUUUAUGACAUUCAGAGAUCAUGAAAACAUGCUAUUAAGAGAUUUUCAAUAUAAUACUAGAGUAACUUGGAAAAAUAUAAACUAAUAAUUUAAAAACUUUGUGAAAGUCAACAGAUAAUAUUUUAUAAUAUAAAGUUAACAUUCAUUUUUUAAAACUUCAACUCUAGAGCCUAGAAGAUUUGAUGAAAGAGAAACUUUUUUAUUCACUUUAUUGAUAAUGUUCAAUUGUAACAUUUCUGCUGCAUUUAAGAUAGCACAAUCUCACCUUACAAGCAAAUUACUCAUGUCUAUUUCCUAUCUCGAUAAGCACACCUAAGAGCAUACGAUUUUGUUUCCAUUCACAGAUGUACCAUAGAUACUUAUGAGGAACAUUUCCACAUGUUGCACACCUCCUUUAAUUUUGUUUGUUAGUUGGUCCUUGUAGAUCAACUUUAUGGGUUUUAUCUUGACCUAUCACAUUUAUUUGUAACAUAUGAUAAUCUGAGCAAGAAGGCAAAUGCACUUCCAUUUUGACUCUCAACCUGGAUAUACAUAUUUCCCUGACAAUGUGCAGCCUCCAUUGUGAAGACUGAACUUGAGGAUGUGUCUUAGAAAGACUCACCGGAACAUUAGCCAGAUGUUAACAAUGUAUAUUACUGCAGGUCUAAUUUGUUCUGAAAAUCUCUUUGUGAACUUGACAAAGCCAUAUGCCUCAGUAUGUUCUUUCAUCAGUUAAAAAAAAGGGGUUUGGGACUAUUUCAGCAACAAAAAUGCUAUGAAUAUAAUAUUUUGACUAACUGCCUUUUAAAUUUUUAUAUAUUUUCCAUUUGCAUUCAUUUAGGAUAUGUAAUAUAUUCAUAUAGUUCAAAAUGCAAGAGGCAUACAAUUUUAAAGAACAUGUUGAAGGCCUACCCAUCACUGUCAGCCUAAUUUA
Molecule: long non-coding RNA, 1660 nt
Filed under: Homo sapiens (human)
Lineage: Eukaryota; Metazoa; Chordata; Mammalia; Primates; Hominidae
Description: HSALNT0078218
Source: RNAcentral